RNAcentral lists this ribosomal RNA (253 nucleotides) under uncultured bacterium. Its description in RNAcentral is "partial 16S ribosomal RNA". It matches the Rfam family "Bacterial small subunit ribosomal RNA", at positions 524 to 776 of the family's 1533-position model. The record is from RNAcentral.
UACGGAGGGUGCAAGCGUUGUUCGGAUUUAUUGGGCGUAAAGGGCGUGCAGGCGGUCUUGCAAGUCCGAUGUGAAAGCCCCGGGCUCAACCCGGGAAGUGCAUCGAAAACCGCGAGACUUGAGUACGGGAGAGGGCAGUGGAAUUCCUGGAGUAGGGGUGAAAUCCGUAGAUAUCAGGAAGAACACCGGUGGCGAAGGCGGCUGCCUGGACCGAUACUGACGCUGAGACGCGAAAGCGUGGGGAGCAAACAGG